GGAUCUCUAUGACUCCCCUCAAAGCAUUCCUUCAAAAGCUGAAUGAAAUGAAUGAUAACUCUCCACCAUAAACCUGAUCAGAAACAGAGGUCC
This is a small nucleolar RNA of Erinaceus europaeus (western European hedgehog), 93 nucleotides long. Its record names the gene SNORD116. It matches the Rfam family "Small nucleolar RNA SNORD116". From Rfam's summary of the family: HBII-85 is a member of the C/D class of snoRNAs, which contain the C (UGAUGA) and D (CUGA) box motifs. HBII-85 is encoded in a tandemly repeated array with another C/D snoRNA, HBII-52, in the Prader-Willi syndrome (PWS) region of chromosome 15. Unlike most other snoRNAs, HBII-85 is expressed prevalently in the brain (but is absent in PWS patients) and lacks any significant complementarity with ribosomal RNA. NCBI's taxonomy places the organism in Eukaryota, Metazoa, Chordata, Mammalia, Eulipotyphla, Erinaceidae. The record is from Ensembl.